RNAcentral lists this ribosomal RNA (468 nucleotides) under uncultured bacterium. RNAcentral describes it as "partial 16S ribosomal RNA". It matches the Rfam family "Bacterial small subunit ribosomal RNA", at positions 28 to 507 of the family's 1533-position model. The record is from RNAcentral.
GACGAACGCUGGCGGCGUGCUUAACACAUGCAAGUCGAACGGAAAGGCCCUGCUUUUGUGGGGUGCUCGAGUGGCGAACGGGUGAGUAACACGUGAGUAACCUGCCCUUGACUUUGGGAUAACUUCAGGAAACUGGGGCUAAUACCGGAUAGGAGCUCCUGCUGCAUGGUGGGGGUUGGAAAGUUUCGGCGGUUGGGGAUGGACUCGCGGCUUAUCAGCUUGUUGGUGGGGUAGUGGCUUACCAAGGCUUUGACGGGUAGCCGGCCUGAGAGGGUGACCGGCCACAUUGGGACUGAGAUGCGGACCAGACUCCUACGGGAGGCAGCAGUGGGGAAUAUUGCACAAUGGGCGGAAGCCUGAUGCAGCAACGCCGCGUGCGGGAUGACGGCCUUCGGGUUGUAAACCGCUUUCGCCUGUGACGAAGCGUGAGUGACGGUAAUGGGUAAAGAAGCACCGGCUAACUACGUG